Molecule: non-coding RNA, 24 nt
Filed under: Arabidopsis thaliana (thale cress)
Lineage: Eukaryota; Viridiplantae; Streptophyta; Magnoliopsida; Brassicales; Brassicaceae
Source: RNAcentral
AAGGCGCGUACACAUAGAGGCGCA